This 59-nucleotide ribosomal RNA is filed under the name uncultured bacterium. Its description in RNAcentral is "partial 16S ribosomal RNA". The record is from RNAcentral.
GAGAGGUCAAGGCCACAUUGGGACUGAGACACGGCCCAGACUCCUACGGAAGGCAGCAG